Molecule: unclassified non-coding RNA, 200 nt
Filed under: Capnodiales sp.
Lineage: Eukaryota; Fungi; Ascomycota; Dothideomycetes; Capnodiales
Description: partial internal transcribed spacer 2
Source: RNAcentral
UUAAGUUCAGCGGGUAUCCCCACCUGAUCCGAGGUCAACCUUUAUGAGAGGUUUUUGCGGCGCGAGGGCGGUCCCAUCCCCGUGGCGAUAUGUCUCCACGACGCCGGGGGAGAGCACGCUCGGCCGGUGCAUUUGGGGCGUGCGGCAUGCGCAUCGCCCAAUACCAAGCGAGGCUUGAUUGGUGAAAUGACGCUCGAACA